AUCUCUUGUGGGUCCUUUCACUGGAUUGAUGCUCUGAGCAAGAAUCAAUGGGCCUCCAAGCACAGCAGACUCCUUUGUUCGUUCUUCAUGGGUGAGAAGACAGCACAAGACAAGAGGAUAGACCCAAAAAUAUGCCAGGCAGAAGAGGAUCCCUUUUGUGUUGGUGUUCCAUCAUGAUCUGGAGCAGGAGCCUACAGGACACACCAGGUCAACUCAAGGAGGUACAGAUAAAGAUGGGACUCUGGGGCCAUGGAAAAAGCCAAGUAAGCAACUUGCUCCAACAAGGCUUGAAGUCCAAGUGAGGCUUUUCUAGAUCUUGAUCUGGGAAACCCCUCUCAGGAAGGACCUCACAUCUCUUGGAGAAUGUUGAACUUAAAGGGCACUCCAUCUGCUCUUGGCUCCUGACUUGUGAUGGUGAUCAGUGAGGGGCCGCCAGGUGAGGAUGUUUUCAUCCUUUGAGGAUCUCAGUGGGUGCAGUCUCUGGGACCUCUGUUCAAGGAUCUUUUGGUGGACAGGCUUUGCUUCUGAGUCUAGCUUUUACAAGGCCUUUGCUGCUGAAACUUCUGAGUUGACUGGCCUUUUCUCAUCAUGAUUGGAGCCCAAGUUUCUGCCUGCUAUGGGGCUCAUGACAGCUUGGUACUUUGGAUAUUUUCUACAAUAAUAAUAAUAAUAAUCUUGAACUCCAACAGGAAAGGGCUUAAUUCCCUCAAGAUUCACAACUAUAGAUCUUCAUGUUUUGCCAAAAGGUUUCCCUUUAAUUCCCUGCUGUGUGCUUUCCAUAUUCAUAGCUCUAAUAAUUACACUGUAACUAAAAUAUUCUAAUCUUUCGGUGAGCUAAUUAAAACGUAUUUGUGUUAUGUUCAUUUGCUAAUAAUGGAUUAUGAUGCUAUGCAUUCAUUUAGUAAUUUAAUGAGGAUGGGUCCAAUCAAAGCAAAAAUGAUGCCACAUAACCGCUCCUAGGCACAGACUAACUGUUCUGAACAUAUUUGUUUCUUCAUAAUCCCGAUAUCUGAUCCUGAAGUCAUAAGUAGCAGCCACAUUACAUAAAUCUGUUGGAAGUUG
Podarcis raffonei (Aeolian wall lizard) is the source of this 1062-nucleotide long non-coding RNA. RefSeq lists it as uncharacterized. The record is from RefSeq and is a predicted model, not a curated record. The transcript is spliced from 2 exons. NCBI's taxonomy places the organism in Eukaryota, Metazoa, Chordata, Lepidosauria, Squamata, Lacertidae.